Molecule: ribosomal RNA, 311 nt
Filed under: uncultured delta proteobacterium
Lineage: Bacteria; Deltaproteobacteria
Description: bacterial SSU rRNA
Rfam family: Bacterial small subunit ribosomal RNA
Source: RNAcentral
GCGUUGUUCGGAAUUAUUGGGCGUAAAGCGCGUGUAGGCGGUUUGUUAAGUCUGGUGUGAAAGCCCUGGGCUCAACCUGGGAAGUGCAUUGGAUACUGGCAAACUUGAGUACGGGAGAGGAUAGUGGAAUUUCGAGUGUAGGGGUGAAAUCCGUAGAUAUUCGAAGGAACACCGGUGGCGAAGGCGGCUAUCUGGACCGAUACUGACGCUGAGACGCGAAAGCGUGGGGAGCAAACAGGAUUAGAUACCCUGGUAGUCCACGCCGUAAACGAUGGGUACUAGGUGUUGCGGGUAUUGACCCCUGCAGUGCC